AGAGUUUGAUCCUGGCUCAGAACGAACGCUGGCGGCAGGCUUAACACAUGCAAGUCGAGCGCCCCGCAAGGGGAGCGGCAGACGGGUGAGUAACGCGUGGGAAACUACCCUUUGGUACGGAACAACUCCGGGAAACUGGAGCUAAUACCGUAUGUGCCCUUCGGGGGAAAGAUUUAUCGCCAUAGGAUGUGCCCGCGUAGGAUUAGCUAGUUGGCGGGGUAAUGGCCCACCAAGGCGACGAUCCUUAGCUGGUCUGAGAGGAUGAUCAGCCACACUGGGACUGAGACACGGCCCAGACUCCUACGGGAGGCAGCAGUGGGGAAUAUUGGACGAAUGGGCGCAAGCCUGAUCCAGCCAUGCCGCGUGAGUAAGGAAGGCCUUAGGGUUGUAAAGCUCUUUCGCACGCGACGA
RNAcentral lists this ribosomal RNA (411 nucleotides) under uncultured bacterium. Its description in RNAcentral is "bacterial SSU rRNA". It matches the Rfam family "Bacterial small subunit ribosomal RNA", at positions 8 to 448 of the family's 1533-position model. The record is from RNAcentral.